Molecule: small nuclear RNA, 164 nt
Filed under: Erinaceus europaeus (western European hedgehog)
Lineage: Eukaryota; Metazoa; Chordata; Mammalia; Eulipotyphla; Erinaceidae
Description: U1 spliceosomal RNA
Rfam family: U1 spliceosomal RNA
About the family: U1 is a small nuclear RNA (snRNA) component of the spliceosome (involved in pre-mRNA splicing). Its 5' end forms complementary base pairs with the 5' splice junction, thus defining the 5' donor site of an intron.
Source: Rfam by way of RNAcentral
AUACUUACCUGGCAGGGGAGAUACCAUGAUCACAAAGGUGGUUUUCCCAGGGCGAGGCUUAUCCAUUGCACUCCGGAUGUGCUGACCCCUGCGAUUUCCCCAAAUGUGGGAAACUCGACUGCAUAAUUUGUGGUAGUGGGGGACUGCGUUCGCGCUCUCCCCUG